RNAcentral lists this long non-coding RNA (725 nucleotides) under Trifolium pratense (red clover). Its description in RNAcentral is "long non-coding RNA (TPRA_LNC001174)". The record is from RNAcentral. Lineage: Eukaryota; Viridiplantae; Streptophyta; Magnoliopsida; Fabales; Fabaceae.
AAAUUUCAUCUUCAAUCUUAAACUUCAUCCCAAUCUCUAAUCCAUAAAUCCAAAAACAUAAAAACUCAUAAAUUUCUUCAAAAACAUAAAAACUCAUUGUUCAGAUCUAAAUUUUGUUGUUUUGAUUUUCCAAAAAAUUAAAUCAAAUGAAUGAUGAUCGAAGAAUUGGUGUUGUUGUUGUUCUUGUUGUUGAACUUGUUUUUUUGCUAACCCAUAUCAUUCACCAAGAUUUUAUUUCUGGAACUCAAUGUUUAUUAUCUCUUGAUUUGGUUUCUGCGGCGUAGAGAGCGAGAGAGGAGAGGGAUGAAGGAGUGGAUUCUCGAACGGGCUUUGGAGACAGAUUCCCACCAAGAGUGCAUAGGGUUGUUGGAGUUGAUUCUGUUAGGGUUGUUGUUGGUGGUGGUGGUUAUGGAGGAGGUGGAAGAAGAGUUUGAAUUAGAGAUGAUGAAUUCUUGUUACGGUAGUGUUGCUCAACUUCAUUUUGCCGUAACAAAUUGAAAGUUAAUGAUGCUGUUGUUCUUCUUUCAGAUUUUUUAGCCAAUAUUUAUCUAUGGGUCACCAAUUAAAUUAAUCAAAAUUAAUUGGAACUUUUCAUAGGGAUUGGAAGAAGAUGGUGGUGGAAUGUUUUAGAUAUUGGAGCAAUUGCAAUUCAUGGAAUAUUAUAGUGGAAGGAAAAUACAAAGCCUGAUUUUUUCAUAAGCUAGAUUAGAGUAGUUUUUGAUGGU